AUUGACCGGACCAAGUAGCAUAAUCAUUUGUCUUUUAAUUAAAGGCUUGUAUGAAUGGUUGGAUGAGAUAUAAUCUAUUUUUAUUUAAUUAAAAAUGAAUUUUAAUUUUUAGUAAAAAUGCUAAAAUAAAAAAUAUAGACGAGAAGACCCUAUAAAUCUUUAUUAUUUUUUUAUUAAUUUAUUAAUAGAAUAUAAAAUUUAUUAAUAAAAAAAUAAUUUUAUUGGGGUGAUAAUGAAAUUUAAUAAACUUUUGUUUUAUUUUAUAAAUAUAAUUAAUUUAAUGAUCCAUUUUUAAUGAUUAUAAAAUUAAGUUACUUUAGGGAUAACAGCGUAAUUAUUUUAAAGAGUUCAUAUCGAUAAAAUAGUUUGCGACCUCGAUGUUGAAUUAAGAGUAAGUUUAGGGUAGAACUC
RNAcentral lists this ribosomal RNA (411 nucleotides) under Culicoides nevilli. Its description in RNAcentral is "partial 16S ribosomal RNA". Lineage: Eukaryota; Metazoa; Arthropoda; Insecta; Diptera; Ceratopogonidae. The record is from RNAcentral.